Molecule: transfer RNA, 87 nt
Filed under: Bacteroidetes bacterium CG2_30_33_31
Lineage: Bacteria; Pseudomonadati; Bacteroidota
Description: tRNA-Ser
Rfam family: tRNA
About the family: Transfer RNA (tRNA) molecules are approximately 80 nucleotides in length. Their secondary structure includes four short double-helical elements and three loops (D, anti-codon, and T loops).
Source: RNAcentral
GGAGAGGUGGGAGAGAGGUUUAAUCCACCAGUUUGCUAAACUGACGUACGGGAAACUGUACCGGGGGUUCGAAUCCCCCCCUCUCCG